Long non-coding RNA from Camellia sinensis, 433 nucleotides. RefSeq lists it as uncharacterized. NCBI's taxonomy places the organism in Eukaryota, Viridiplantae, Streptophyta, Magnoliopsida, Ericales, Theaceae. The record is from RefSeq and is a predicted model, not a curated record.
ACCCGCAUAUUAUAGUACAGUACUACUAGGGUUUGGUUAUAAAUACCACAGACUCUCUCUCUCUCGGAUUUCAAUCGGCGCAUCUCUUUCCAAAUAUCAGCACUGGUACAUCCAACCAGACCCGCGGUUUCUUUGUUGCAUCGCCGCCAUGAGAGCUAAGUGGAAGAAGAAGCGCAUGAGGAGGUUGAAGAGAAAACGCCGAAAGAUGAGGCAGCGAUCUAAGUAAACAAUCGAGGCAUUUCACAGGGACGUCUCUCGAUCCUUCGGUGUCGUUGAUUUUCUCUCUCUUUGUCUCAGAUUUGCGUUGUUAGGUUUUGGCAUCUGACUCACAUUUGGUUUUAGUAUUGUCUUUUUAAUUUUAACUUUUAUUUUUAUAACAGUUGAUCUAUGGAUUCUACGCUUUAAUGAAAUUUGAGUUGUUAUUGAUAUCACU